AUUGAACGCUAGCGGGAUGCUUUACACAUGCAAGUCGAACGAGUGGCGGACGGGUGAGGAAUAUAUCGGAACGUGCCCAGUAGAGGGGGAUAACUACUCGAAAGAGUGGCUAAUACCGCAUAAUAGUGGAGAGGCCGAUAUCGGAUUAGCUAGUUGGUGGGGUAAAGGCGAACCAAGGCAACGAUCCGUAGCUGGUUUGAGAGGACGACCAGCCACACUGGGACUUAGACACGGCCCAGCCUCCGCCGGGAGGCAGCAGUGGGGAAUUUUGGACAAUGGGGGAAACCCUGAUCCAGCCAUCCCGCGUGUAUGAGAAGGCCUUCGGGUUGUAAAGUACUUUUGGCAGAGAAGCGGUAUCUGCAGACUAAGCACCGGCUAACUACGUGCCAGCCGCCGCGGUAAUAC
This 405-nucleotide ribosomal RNA is filed under the name uncultured bacterium. RNAcentral describes it as "partial 16S ribosomal RNA". It matches the Rfam family "Bacterial small subunit ribosomal RNA", at positions 30 to 526 of the family's 1533-position model. The record is from RNAcentral.